UACGUAGGUGGCGAGCGUUAUCCGGAAUUAUUGGGCGUAAAGGGUGCGUAGGCGGCACACUAAGUCUAAGGUUAAAGUUCGAGGCUCAACUUCGGAUUGCCUUAGAAACUGGUGAGCUAGAGUGCAGGAGAGGUAAGUGGAAUUCCUAGUGUAGCGGUGAAAUGCGUAGAUAUUAGGAGGAACACCAGUGGCGAAGGCGGCUACCUGGCCUGUAACUGACGCUGAGGCACGAAAGCGUGGGGAGCAAAUA
This 250-nucleotide ribosomal RNA is filed under the name uncultured bacterium. RNAcentral's name for it is "partial 16S ribosomal RNA". It matches the Rfam family "Bacterial small subunit ribosomal RNA", at positions 524 to 774 of the family's 1533-position model. The record is from RNAcentral. RNAcentral also lists the same sequence under 1 other name.